ACUACGGGAGGCAGCAGUGAGGAAUAUUGGUCAAUGGGCGCGAGCCUGAACCAGCCAAGUAGCGUGAGUGAUGACUGCCCUACGGGUUGUAAGCUUCUUUUGUGAAGUGGUAAAGUGAAGCACGUAUGCCUUUUUGUAUGGACUUUAUGAGUAGGGGUAGGCUAACUCCGUUCCAGCAGCCGCGGUGAUACGGAGGAUCCGAGCGUUAUCCGGAUUUAUUGGGUGUAAAGGGAGAGUAGAUGGGUUGUUAAGUCAGAUGUGAAGGUGUGAGGCUCAACCGUAAAAUUGCAAUUGAUACUGGCAGCCUUGAGUACAGUUGAGGUAGGCGGAAUUCGUGGUGUAGCGGUGAAAUGCUUAGAUAUCACGAAGAACUCCGAUUGCGAAGGCAGCCUACUAAACUGCGACUGACAUUGAUGCUCGAAAGUGUGGGUAUCAAACAGGAUUAGAUACCCUUGUAGUC
This 460-nucleotide ribosomal RNA is filed under the name uncultured bacterium. RNAcentral describes it as "partial 16S ribosomal RNA". It matches the Rfam family "Bacterial small subunit ribosomal RNA", at positions 338 to 795 of the family's 1533-position model. The record is from RNAcentral.